CGCACUCCUGGGCUGGGCACUCCCCGCAGCAGUCACCAAAGCCAGAAGCAGCAGCUGCAUCAUCUGCCAGGCCAUGUAGACAAGGCCUGAGACAGGGGCAACAGCCAUGUGAUUGUGUACUCUCUCCCUCCCAGGCCCAGAUCUCUGCUGUCCCCACCCUGCAUCCCCUACAGGGCAGCUGAGCCAAGAAAUGCGCUGCGUGUAGAGGUGAGAGGGAGCCCUUCC
This 225-nucleotide long non-coding RNA is filed under the name Homo sapiens (human). RNAcentral describes it as "HSALNT0363672". Lineage: Eukaryota; Metazoa; Chordata; Mammalia; Primates; Hominidae. The record is from RNAcentral.